RNAcentral lists this ribosomal RNA (200 nucleotides) under uncultured prokaryote. RNAcentral describes it as "partial 16S ribosomal RNA". It matches the Rfam family "Bacterial small subunit ribosomal RNA", at positions 1183 to 1382 of the family's 1533-position model. The record is from RNAcentral.
CGUCAAAUCAGCACGGCCCUUACAUCCGGGGCGACACACGUGUUACAAUGGGAGGGACAAAGGGCAGCUACCGGGCGACCGGAUGCGAAUCCCGAAACCCUCUCUCAGUUCGGAUCGGAGUCUGCAACCCGACUCCGUGAAGCUGGAUUCGCUAGUAAUCGCGCAUCAGCCAUGGCGCGGUGAAUACGUUCCCGGGCCUU